GCUGGGCACAGUGGUGCCCGCCUGUAAUCUCAGCAGCUCAGGAGGCUGAGGCAGGAGGAUUGCAAGUCCAAAGGCAGCCUCAACAAUUUGGCAAGACUCUGUCUCAA
Molecule: small RNA, 107 nt
Filed under: Marmota monax (woodchuck)
Lineage: Eukaryota; Metazoa; Chordata; Mammalia; Rodentia; Sciuridae
Source: RNAcentral